GGGCCGGUGGCCGAGCCUGGUCGAUGGCGUCUACUUUGGAGGUAGAUUGCGUAGCGCAGUCGCGAGUUCAAAUCUCGCCCGGCCCACCC
This 89-nucleotide transfer RNA is filed under the name mine drainage metagenome. RNAcentral describes it as "tRNA-Pro". It matches the Rfam family "tRNA". From Rfam's summary of the family: Transfer RNA (tRNA) molecules are approximately 80 nucleotides in length. Their secondary structure includes four short double-helical elements and three loops (D, anti-codon, and T loops). The record is from RNAcentral.